This is a non-coding RNA of Heterocephalus glaber (naked mole-rat), 3325 nucleotides long. The record is from RefSeq and is a predicted model, not a curated record. NCBI's taxonomy places the organism in Eukaryota, Metazoa, Chordata, Mammalia, Rodentia, Bathyergidae.
GCAGAAAACAAACCUGGGUGUCCUUCACCAGUUAAAGGAGAUGUAAACAGAUGUGUUUCCUGAGCCCUGAAGCUUCUAAGUUUGCACCGACUCGGCACUGUUUGGCCAGAGCUCCUUGGGAUUGCUGGCUAAGUGUAGAUGCCUGGGCCACAAGAGAUGGGAAUGGUGACCCUUGUCCUCCUCAUACAUGAAUAAUCAUGCCUGGGAGCUCAAAAUAACACUCAAGAAGGGCAGUAAAAACACUAAUAGGUCCGUGAAAGAACAUCAUUUUCUUGGGGGCAGCUUAUAUACUGUGCUAUUUGCAAAAGUAACUAAUUCGCCAACCAACUAGCUCACUGAUCAACAAGGUAAUUAACCAACUAACUAACCACCUAACCAACCAACCCAACAAAUAUCCAACUAAUCAACUGCUGACUUUCACCUGAGCAGAGCCAGGGUGCAGGAAAGAUGGCUUGCAAACAUCCUCUUCCGUGGACAGAGGACAGAGGCUGAAAUAAAGCUGCCAAUCCUGGAGCUGCAGCUCUAGGCUCCAAGUAUGAACCAUGAUUACACUUGGCCAGCUGGGAAGGUCCGACGGCCAGGCUUUGUCCCUUGGAGGGGACCAUUUCCAACUGCCUUUUCCUUAAACUUGGAUGGCCGAGCAGCAUCCCUGGAGUGGUUCUGACACAAAUCUGUAACUUGCCGGGCACAGGCGACUGCAGUUUCACGUGGCCGUGCCAAGUGUGGUGAGAGGCCCCGUGUGCACUUUCAGUCACAUGAUCUGAUGACUCAGGCCCAUUCUGGUUCCUGCUUGCCAGAGUAUGGGAACUGGGAGGAAAGUGAGAAAUGGCUUUGCUAUGGUUCUCUGGGAGGGUCCAGGGUUGGGCAACGCCCUGUUGCUAUAUGGGCUCCCCUGAAUCCUGUUAUCUAAGCAUGAGUGUAAUAAAGUUAUCAUGUAGUCACAGAAUUGCCAUUUUCAGAGGAUGUUUCCUGAGUUCCUGUGUUUUAUCCCCUGUCUCCAACAGGAGCAAGCCAAAAUCAUCCGGAAAGGAAAAAAAAAAAUCAACGUUUUACCACUUCCUUUAAUGAAAUAGCUUGGUAUUUUACCUCCCCAUCCAGAAAUGUUUUCUGUGCUGUCUGACCUGAAUCCACCCUGACACAUUUCACUGUGAUUCUUCUCACUCCGGUAGACAGAGUGGAAAAUUCAUUCCACAGCAGUAGGAAUGUCUAACCCAGAAAGAAGAUGCUAAUUCUGACUUUAUUUCCUCUCCUUUGCCACUUUAUAGGCUUUUGUUCUUUCAAAUUGGAUUUUUUAUUUUUUUAUUUUUAUUUUUUGGUCUUAAGCAUUGAACCCAGGGCCUUUGCACUGAGUUACAUCCCCAGCCCUUUUUUAUUUUUUAAUUUUGUGACAGGGUCUCAUUAACUCUCUAAGUAGCCGAGGAUGAUCUCAGACUUGGAAUCCUCCUACUCAGCUCUCAGAUUAGCUUUGAAAAGUUGCUUCUUUAAGGAAUCUUUCACUGUUAAGCCCCUCCUUUCCACAGAAGAGCCAAGAGCACACGCAGAGUUUCUCUCAUGCACAUGCUCUUGUGGACAUGCUAUUUUAAAAAUUCUUUGAAUCCUUUUCAGGGCACAGUGCUCUGUAUUUCCAGGUGGGAUGGAUUCUCUUUAAUUCAAAUAGGGAGUCCAGAAAAGUGCUGUGGGCUUGGAGUCAGAAGUCAGGGAUUUGUUGUUCAACAGCUGUUAAUUGAGGCAGCGUCUCCGAGUUGAGAGGCUCAGUUUACAGAAUUUUCUGGAAAACAGAAAAUGAGGCUUUCACUCUAGGGGUCACUUCUUGGGGACAAAUAAAGAAAUGCAUAUAAAAGAACUUAAAAUAAUUGUUGCCACUUAAUAGACCCGUAGAUACCAACUUACACACCUUAAGGACAGAACCUCUAAGUUCUAUCUCUCCGGUUUUUCUUGAUAUGGCCUCGCAAUGCUGCUCUGUGAGCUUGAUGACUACUGUGGUCUGACCGUCUGUCGGGAGCUGAAGACCUGGAAUUUGGAAAGGCCUUUGAGCCAUUCUGUGGUACACAGGGAGAAGUCCAGACUAAGAAUCGGGACUCUGGGAGGUCAAAGGGGAUGGGAGAAAAGGAUGCUGUGUAUUUCUCUGAGCCAGGGAACCAGGUAAGACAGAAUCUGUGGAAUAAGCAAUAGGGGUAAGCAGAAAAACACAGUUUUAGUCCUAAGAGAUCAUGUCUGGUGCAGGCACAUGCAAGACAAAGUGCCGGUGAUGUUCCUAUUGAAAAAAAUCUGUCCCCUGUAAUUGCACUUGCUCUUAGAGUUCACCUUUGCACUGUCUUCUCUAUAUUACUCUGUCACUUCAACAAGUCACUGUUUCUGGGGUGGGGGUGGGGGUUUCUUUGUCCAGUUGCUCAUUUUGAUUUUCUAGGAGGACCAGAUGUUAUUGCUGCUGAAAUAAUUUCUUUUACCCCCCAAAUACAGGACCUUUCCUUUGCCUGGUUCCUUGGCAUUCUCUUUGCCCCUGGGCCAGAGGUGCUUAAGAUAGCUGGGGCCAUGCUCAAGUGAGUGCUGGUGAUAAGUGUUGACCUGGAUCCAGUGUGACUUGAGGGUGCAGUGGGCAGGGAUGACUCAGGCUGAGGAAACUACUCCUCAAGGGCUCUAGGGAGGGAAAGAGUGUGGAGUGGGGCAUGGGCUUGCAGCCUUGGCAUAAGCUAAGCCUGGGUUGAUGGAGGACAGGGAGCAGUAUGUUUACAGAGGGUGAGGCUCCCUCUUUCUCACCAUGCCAAGUGACUGGAGAAAUGAGGGAGGGUCGGCAGUGGAAGGUCACUUCCACUGCUCAUCUCAUUCUUGAGGCAAAGCAGCCCAAUAUGAGAUGCUCAUUUAUUUUUCUACCACCACUGAUUGAAUCCCUGGUGGUAAAUAAAGGCCUGUGUGUGUGAUAAUUUUUGUUUUGUGCCACAAAAAUAGAGCUAAAUUUAACACAUCCCUCUGUUUAGAGCACACUGUCCUUAGUGAGUUGUGUAAGGGCAUAUUCUGGCUCAUUUUGGUCUUUGCCAUUUGCCUUUCAUCCUUGAUUUCUACUGCCAUUCCCUUUGUUCCUUUUGCUGAUGCCCACACUCAUCCCUGAUGCACAUGGUGCACUAAUGAUGGGACAGCAGGUCUCUAUACAUGUGCCCCAUGGGGGAAUGGCUGGGCUACAGGGAAUAAGAAUACCUAAGUUCACCAAAGACUUCCUCUUUGUUGUCCAAAAUGGCAGUGCUGAUAAAAUAUUGUUUCAACAUCGCAUGAGUGAGCCUAUUUAUUUCCCUGAUUUUUCCCUAGCACUUUGUGUUACUUGGUUUUUGAA